RNAcentral lists this long non-coding RNA (391 nucleotides) under Pan troglodytes (chimpanzee). RNAcentral's name for it is "long non-coding RNA NONPTRT001932". Lineage: Eukaryota; Metazoa; Chordata; Mammalia; Primates; Hominidae. The record is from RNAcentral.
AACCAUCCCUUCCCCAUCCCCCAUCCCCACCAUCUGUAUAAAAAUACUACAUAAUGAUAAAGCUAAAAUAUAUUUAUUUGAAUGUUGUACAAUAGGCCUACAUACAGGAAAAUGCCACAACUACCUUUUGUGAGACAGAUGUGUGUAAAGAUGCCACAUUCAUCUCUUAAAGAUGUUUUAUAAGUAAAAAAAAUAAGAUCUUUGCUCUUGAUUUCUUUAUGUAUAAUUUCUUCUUUCCUUGAAAGAGCAACUGUAUUAACAUUUUCUAAUAACAAUUCAUCUGGCACUUCAGUUUGCAAAAUGCUUCCAUACACAUGAUCUUACUUUGUCUAAGAAGAAGCCAAGUUCAUCAUCAAGGAUGUGGUAAUUCACUAGGUUGGUAGAAAGAAAG